RNAcentral lists this ribosomal RNA (367 nucleotides) under uncultured organism. Its description in RNAcentral is "bacterial LSU rRNA". It matches the Rfam family "Bacterial large subunit ribosomal RNA", at positions 2099 to 2465 of the family's 2925-position model. The record is from RNAcentral.
CUUUACUGCAACUUGACAGUGAGGCUCGGGACAAUCUGCGUAGGAUAGGUAGGAGGCUUUGAAGUCGGGGUUCCGGCCUCGAUGGAGCCAACGUUGAAAUACUACCCUGGUUGUCCUUGGCUUCUAACCUGGGUCCCUCAGCGGGAUCGGGGACACUGUCUGGUGGGCAGUUUGACUGGGGCGGUCGCCUCCCAAAAGGUAACGGAGGCGUGCGAAGGUACCCUCAGGCUGAUUGGAAACCAGCCUUCGAGUGCAAUGGCAUAAGGGUGCUUAACUGUGAGACCGACAGGUCGAACAGGUGCGAAAGCAGGCCAUAGUGAUCCGGUGGUCCCGUAUGGAAGGGCCAUCGCUCAUCGGACAAAAGGUA